GACGAACGCUGGCGGCGUGCUUAACACAUGCAAGUCGAACGGAAAGGCCCUGCUUUUGUGGGGUGCUCGAGUGGCGAACGGGUGAGUAACACGUGAGUAACCUGCCCUUGACUUUGGGAUAACUUCAGGAAACUGGGGCUAAUACCGGAUAGGAGCUCCUGCUGAAUGGUGGGGGUUGGAAAGUUUCGGCGGUUGGGGAUGGACUCGCGGCUUAUCAGCUUGUUGGUGGGGUAGUGGCUUACCAAGGCUUUGACGGGUAGCCGGCCUGAGAGGGUGACCGGCCACAUUGGGACUGAGAUACGGCCCAGACUCCUACGGGAGGCAGCAGUGGGGAAUAUUGCACAAUGGGCGGAAGCCUGAUGCAGCAACGCCGCGUGCGGGAUGACGGCCUUCGGGUUGUAAACCGCUUUCGCCUGUGACGAAGCGUGAGUGACGGUAAUGGGUAAAGAAGCACCGGCUAACUACGUG
This 468-nucleotide ribosomal RNA is filed under the name uncultured bacterium. RNAcentral's name for it is "partial 16S ribosomal RNA". It matches the Rfam family "Bacterial small subunit ribosomal RNA", at positions 28 to 507 of the family's 1533-position model. The record is from RNAcentral.